ACCCGCUGAACUUAAGCAUAUCAAUAAGGGGAGGAAAAGAAACCAACAGGGAUUGCCCUAGUAACGGCGAGUGAAGCGGCAUCAGCUCAAAUUUGAAAUCUGGCUCUUUCAGAGUCCGAGUUGUAAUUUGUAGAGGCAUAUUCGGGAAGCGGUUUAGUCUAUGUUCUUUGGGACAGGGCGUCAUAGAGGGUGAGAAUCCCGUAUGACUUUUCUCGCAACCUAUGUGAAUGGCCUUCUAAGAGUCGAGUUGUUUGGGAAUGCAGCUCUAAUUGGGUGGUAAAUUCCAUCUAAAGCUAAAUACUGGCAAGAGACCGAUAGCGCACAAGCAGAGUGAUCGAAAGAUGAAAAGCACUUUGGAAAGAGAGUUAAAAAGCACGUGAAAUUGUUGAAAGGGAAGCGCUUGCAGCCAGACUUGCCUGUAGUUGCUCAUCCGGGUUUUUACCCGGUGCACUCUUCUAUAGGCAGGCCAGCAUCAGUUUGGGCGGUUGGAUAAAGGUCUCUGUCCUGUACCUCUCUUCGGGGAGAACUUAUAGGGGAGACGACAUGCAACCAGCCCGGACUGAGGUCCGCGCAUCUGCUAGGAUGCUGGCGUAAUGGCUGU
RNAcentral lists this ribosomal RNA (601 nucleotides) under uncultured fungus. RNAcentral describes it as "eukaryotic LSU rRNA". It matches the Rfam family "Eukaryotic large subunit ribosomal RNA", at positions 23 to 641 of the family's 3401-position model. Lineage: Eukaryota; Fungi. The record is from RNAcentral.